UUUAAAUUAAAAAUAUUUAUUUUCGGCGUAUAAAAUUAUUCUUUGUGUGUGAGUUCCAUUAAUAAUGUCACAAUUAGUAAAUUUUAAUGAAAUUCAGUAAUGAGAUCAUACUAUUAAUGACACGUGUUUCGAUCGAAACAUGUGUACUCUUUUGCAUCUCUUAGUGAUUCUUAGUCAGUCAUUUAUUUUCAGAAUUAAAUUGUUUAUUUACAUAAUUCGAACAAAUAGAAAUAAUAUUUUUAGAUAUAACUUUGUAAAUUUCUUCAAAGGUGUAAACGACAGUUCAGUUAAAAUGAUAGAAAUCAUGUACGCGUCCUUUAUGGCCACAUACUUAUGUACACGUCUGCAUAGAGUGUGACCAUAAAGGAAGAAAUAUAUGAAAAAGUAUGCAUAUUAUGAUAUCUUAACAAAUAAUGGAAAUUUUUCUUGCGCGUUAUCUAUGGGGAUUCAAUACAGGAUUGCAUUAUAUUUCAAAAUAGGAAUAGUUCUGGCUCAUUUACCGAUGUUCUCUAUGUAGCAGUGAUGCUCUUUCUGUCUGUUAUGCAUUACUUAUAAAAUACA
This 561-nucleotide long non-coding RNA is filed under the name Androctonus crassicauda. Lineage: Eukaryota; Metazoa; Arthropoda; Arachnida; Scorpiones; Buthidae. The record is from RNAcentral.